CAAACUCGGUCCCAGUCCAGGUUACAGAGACGCGCUGACUCCAGGGAGGAGAGAACGGCGUCUACACCGCUGGUUUCUCCGCCUCAGCCACGGGCACCGGUGAAGACCUGAGACCACCCCCCUGCCCUCAAGGACACAGGCGAAAGGAGGCCACACACCUCGGGGCCGCCGCCAAACUGCGUCCCAUUCCCCCUGGUUUACGGGGUGAAAAAAACGCAGAGCGCGCCAACAGGAGAGAAAGUAGCCUGAUUUUUGUUCCUGAGGCCCUGACUCUGAACGGGAGAUUCCAAGAGGGGAAGGUAACCAGGCUGGACUAGAACACGCUGGGAUCACAGCUGUCUCCUGGGAGAUUCAGAUUCUGUUUCCCCACCGCCCAGCCCCUGGUAACCACCAUUCUGCUUUGUCUCUAUGAGUUUAACGUUUUUAGAUUCCACAUGUAAGUAAGAUCAUACAUUACUUGUCUUUCUGUGUCUGGCUUAUUUCAUUUAGCACAAUUUCCUCCAGGUUCAUCCAUGUUUUCACAAAUGGCAGAAUUUCCUUAUUUAUUUUUUAAGGCUGAAUAAUAUUCCAUUAUAAAUAUGUCAAUCACAUUUUUUUUACCCAUUCAUCCAUCAAUAGACACUUAGGUUAUUUCCAUGUCUUGGCUAUUGUGCCUAAUGCUGCAAUGAACUUAGGGGUGCAGAUAUCUCUCAAGAUACUUAUUAUAUUUCCUUUGGAUAUAUACCGGGACAUGGGAGUGCUGAAUCGUACAGUAACCUAGCUUCAGGCAAUGUGGAAGAAGCAGCAUCCCGUUGGAUGAAAAUUAUAUUUUGAUGGCUUUGGAUGUCCUUCCCAGUUGCUUGGGUGGACUCGCCUGAGGGAGCAAGUCGACCUUGCUGAAGAAGCGUACAUCAUGGCUGCUCAAAACCAAGCUCAUGUUCUCCUGGCCCCCAGAAUGAUUCUCAAAGGGCCAAGAACUUCAUUUCAUCGAGUCUUCAUUUUGUUUUUUGGUGUUCUGAGCUUGUGCCUUUGUUUGUGUUCCUAGUUCUUGGCCAAGUAUGGUUCUGGCUCUGUGCUGUGCUCAGCAGAGAAUUAAUCCCCGUUGGUGGCAGCAGCGAUUGAGAACCAUGGUCUGACUGUUUAAUGAUGCUUGUCAGCUGGAUAGUGGGGAAAAGUUAUCCUUUAUGUUUGAGUUUGCAAUUUACUGUUUGGUUUGAGCCCAGGCACUGCGAAGUUCCAUGUCCACCUGCGGAUUUCUGUCCAGUAGAACACAUGACUUUUGUAUCAUAGAAAUCUUAUUCUAACAUUGUUUGAUUUCUAAAAUAAAUUUUCUGGAGCUGGCCCUGAUGCCCUAGUGGUUAACUUUUGGUGUUCUCACCACUUUGGUGGCCUGGGUUAGUUUCCCAGUCGUGGAACCACACCAUCUGUCUGUCAGUAGUCAUGCUGUGGUGGCAGCUCACAUAGAAGAACUAGGACUUCAGCUAAGAUAUACAUCCAUGCAGUGGAGCUUUAGGGAGGAAAAAAAAUAGGAAGAUUGGCAACAGAUGUUAGCUCUGGGUGAAUCUCCCCUGGAAAACAAAAAAGAUAAAAAUUAAUUUUCUGAUGGCCUAUAUAAAAACUAUCACUCUAAGAACUAGCUUUACUGUCUGAUUUCUUCAUCAAUG
This 1643-nucleotide long non-coding RNA is filed under the name Equus caballus (horse). Its description in RNAcentral is "lncRNA (ENSECAG00000055404.1)". Lineage: Eukaryota; Metazoa; Chordata; Mammalia; Perissodactyla; Equidae. The record is from RNAcentral.